Molecule: ribosomal RNA, 301 nt
Filed under: uncultured bacterium
Lineage: Bacteria
Description: partial 16S ribosomal RNA
Rfam family: Bacterial small subunit ribosomal RNA
Source: RNAcentral
CAGCAGCCGCGGUAAUACGUAGGUGGCAAGCGUUGUCCGGAUUUAUUGGGCGUAAAGCGAGCGCAGGCGGUCAAUUAAGUCUGAUGUGAAAGCCCCCGGCUCAACCGGGGAGGGUCAUUGGAAACUGGUUGACUUGAGUGCAGAAGAGGAGAGUGGAAUUCCAUGUGUAGCGGUGAAAUGCGUAGAUAUAUGGAGGAACACCAGUGGCGAAGGCGACUCUCUGGUCUGUAACUGACGCUGAGGCUCGAAAGCGUGGGUAGCAAACAGGAUUAGAUACCCCUGUAGUCCCUGUCUCUUAUAC